Molecule: long non-coding RNA, 1058 nt
Filed under: Homo sapiens (human)
Lineage: Eukaryota; Metazoa; Chordata; Mammalia; Primates; Hominidae
Description: HSALNT0372032
Source: RNAcentral
UUUUAAAAUAAGUACAUUCACUUCUACAAGCUAUGUAGAUUAUUACUCUCAAGCUAUUAAAAGACCAAGCCAAAAUAAUUAUGGGCUACUCUCGACCACUUGUAGGAAUGGAUAGAGAGGUCUGGUCACAUGCCUGGAAAUUAGAGCUUGAGCUCUGAAAAUGAUAAUCCUGACUAUAUCUCAAAGCAUCAGUCUGCACUUUGUAUGGAGCAAGAAAAAGCCUUGUGGAAGCGGCCUCCCACCCAGCCGAGCCCUCGGCGUGGACAAGCUCUGCUUUUUAUGAGCAGUGGGUGCAGCCUCGCUGCUCCCUCCUCCUGUCAAAAGACAGUCACAGCUGGGGUGAGCAGAUCGGGCCCACUUGGGAGGCCCCAAGGAAUAUGCUGCAGGGGUCGGGCCUGAGCCACCCCCACGGGUUGGUCUUUGACAACUAGAGAGCAGCUGAGAGGUGGGUAAAAGCUCACUCACUUACCCUGACCUCAGUGUCCUCAUCUUAAAAUGGGUUUCCUGAAUCUUUCCCCGGCUUAGUGGCAAUGAAAUAAGAUAAUUUAUGUAAACGUUCUCCACAUAGUAAAGCACUAAGUAACAUAUGACUGUCAUCUGUUUUCCACUAGACAGAUCCCAACCUGGAAGAGUGACAGAUGGUAUUUCAGAUACAAGUGACUCAAGCAAAGCUUGAUAAACUGGGGGCUGGAAAAAAAUGCACAUUUACACAAAGCCUGGAGUAACUGCAGCACAGGCAGAGAAUAGCACAGGAAAGGCCAGAAGGUUUAUGAGAAAACUCAGGUGAAUUCAAGGAUGGCCUAACUGAAAGAACACCACAUAAUUCCAGACUCACGAACUCAGUCCAGCGAGGCUCAAGGGGAGUUAUAAAGUCCUCUGGAACUCGGUUCUGGGCUCUCAGACCUUGCAGGAGAGGACAGCAAAGGAAGGUUUUCAUCUGUACUGCCAAAACUGAGUGGUGGGCCAGCAGCCAGGUGGUCUUUGCAAGGUGCAAGGAGGCAUGAAUAUCAUGGAAGCCAUGGAGCGCUUUGGGUCCAGGAAGAGCAAGACCAGCAAGA